This 253-nucleotide ribosomal RNA is filed under the name uncultured bacterium. RNAcentral's name for it is "partial 16S ribosomal RNA". It matches the Rfam family "Bacterial small subunit ribosomal RNA", at positions 524 to 776 of the family's 1533-position model. The record is from RNAcentral.
UACGGGGGGGGCAAGCGUUGUUCGGAAUUACUGGGCGUAAAGGGCUCGUAGGCGGCCAACUAAGUCGAACGUGAAAUCCCUCAGCUUAACUGGGGAACUGCGUCCGACACUGAUUGGCUUGAAUCCGGAAGAGGGAUGCGGAAUUCCAGGUGUAGCGGUGAAAUGCGUAGAUAUCUGGAGGAACACCGGUGGCGAAGGCGGCAUCCUGGGUCGGUAUUGACGCUGAGGAGCGAAAGCCAGGGGAGCAAACGGG